Molecule: ribosomal RNA, 508 nt
Filed under: uncultured bacterium
Lineage: Bacteria
Description: bacterial SSU rRNA
Rfam family: Bacterial small subunit ribosomal RNA
Source: RNAcentral
UUAGAUCUGGUUCAGGACAAACGCUGCGGCGUGCCUAACACAUGCAAGUCGAACGAAGCAUGCUGGAAAGAGACUCGGUCAAUUGAAAGUAUGACUUAGUGGCGGACGGGUGAGUAAUGCAUGAGCAACCUGCCCUGGAGAGGGGGGACAACAGCUGGAAACGGCUGCUAAUACCGCAUGAUGUCACCGGAAGGCAUCUUCUGGAGACCAAAGAUUUAUCGCUCUGGGAUGGGCUCAUGUCUGAUUAGAUAGUUGGCGGGGCAACGGCCCACCAAGUCUACGAUCAGUAGCCGGACUGAGAGGUUGAACGGCCACAUUGGGACUGAGAUACGGCCCAGACUCCUACGGGAGGCAGCAGUGGGGAAUAUUGGGCAAUGGGCGCAAGCCCUGACCCAGCAACGCCGCGUGAAGGAAGAAGGCUUUCGGGUUGUAAACUUCUUUUAUCAGGGACGAAGGAUGUGACGGUACCUGAUGAAUAAGCCACGGCUAACUACGUGCCAGCCGCAGC